RNAcentral lists this long non-coding RNA (293 nucleotides) under Rattus norvegicus (Norway rat). Its description in RNAcentral is "long non-coding RNA NONRATT028881". Lineage: Eukaryota; Metazoa; Chordata; Mammalia; Rodentia; Muridae. The record is from RNAcentral.
UUAAAGUAUUUUCCAUAUUAUGGGAAAAAACGGCACUGCUUUUGACAACAGGGAACUCAGAGCAGCAGUGGGUAUCUGUUGAGGCUUGCACACGAGACCUGAUAAACAGAAAACAGACUUCUCCCACCGAGGGCUGCCAAGGACGUUGGAGCCUUCCUUCAUCUUGACAGAAGCGCCAACCUCCCCUCAGGACUUGAAACCCAGCAGAGCUGGCUUCCAACUGCAUGGACAAAUAUGUGUGGGUUGAUGAAGAAAAUCACUCAGAGCUUAUUAAAACUGCUUCCUAGACACAA